Molecule: non-coding RNA, 1128 nt
Organism: Gasterosteus aculeatus aculeatus (three-spined stickleback)
Lineage: Eukaryota; Metazoa; Chordata; Actinopteri; Perciformes; Gasterosteidae
Source: RefSeq, a predicted model, not a curated record
CUGUUGUGCACGCCCACUCAUCCCUACACACCUGUGUCUGGUUCCCCAUCAAGAUGGUCUGUAUAUAUACCCCUUAUCCCUCUGUGUUCCUUGUGAAGUCUCGUGUAGUUAUCAUCACAUUCUGAGCGUUAUUUAGAUAUCCUGUUUUGUACUCUUGUUGAAGACUCCUUUUUGUUCCAGACCUCGUUGCCUCCUGCCUGAUCCCUGUCUGUACCUUUGCUUAUCUCCGUGCUCCUGGAUUUCGACCUCCUGCCUGUCUUCUGGAUACGACUAAGCCUAAUCCCUGUUUACCUGUUAUUCAUUAAAUCUGCGCUCUGCGCUUGGGUCGACUCCUGUCUCCUGUGAUGCGUUACAGAAGACUUCGCCUCAGCCAGACCCAGCGGAGUGUGUCACAGGCCUCCCGCUGCCCUUGAGGAUGUCGGAGCCAGAUCAGCAUACAAAGCCCCGCCCACAGCUGCUGCUCUGUGUCCUUCACAUCGAUCAGCUGGUGGAAUGAAAGGUCAAAGUUCACCACCACACUUCCAAGACUGUGAAAAAACACAUAAAGGAAGGAAUCGAUAUCUACCUGAAGUACAAAACCUCACACGACUUGAACACCUGUGCGAGAUCACUGUGAGUGAACGCCUUCGAUACCUGUUGACCAAUCAGAUGACAGGCUGGGAUCAGUUACCUGCUGUUGGACAUCGUAAGCCAAAGAUUUAAACCUCAGACUGCUGGAGUUCUUCAGCUCUUCAGAGAAAACAGCUCCCUCUGUGAUCGACAUUCGACCGCUUCAGGCUUAACCACGAAACUACAAUGAGUCCGACGCAGCAGAGUGUGAAGUCCAGCAGCAAUAAACAUGUCAGGAGACCUACUUGUAUGUAGCUCCGCCCCCUGCACACACCUGUCAGAAGAUCUACUUUCAUGUGGCUCCGCCCCUCUGCACUCGCCUGUGUAAUAUUAUCUUUGGUGAUUUGUACAACGCAAUGAACACAUUAAUAGUAAUAAUAUAAUAAUUGUUACUUCAAAAUCUGGUUGAAAACAUUGUUUAAAUUUAUAUUAACUAAAUAUAUUAAUCAAUUUAUAAAUAUAACCAUUUGUGUUCACCCCUUGUUUGAAAUAAACAAUCCAUUCAUGUAUUUACUUUUA